GUUUGUGAGCGAGUGUUUGAAAGGUGCUUGGCGCCCUCAACAGGCGGAGAAGGAUGUGACAACAUGACAAUGAUCUUGGUUCAGUUUAAGAAUCCUGUUAAUUCAACUGCUUGUAUUGGAAACAACCCUAUGUCAUCUGAUCCAUCACCUGAGAAGGCUUCUACUGGGAACCAGCCUCUCUUGUCUGAUCCAUCACUAGAGAAGGUAUCUACUGGGAACAAGCCUCUCUCGUCUGAUCCAUCACCUGAGAAGGCUUCUACAGGGAACAAGUUUCCGUCUGAUCCAUCACCGGAGAAGGCUUCUACAGGGAACAAGCCUCUCUCGUCUGAUACAUCACCCGAGAAGGCUUCUACAGGGAACAAGCCUCUCUCGUCUGAUCCAUCACCCGAGAAGGCUUCCACUGGGAACAAGCCUCUCUCGUCUGAUCCAUCACUUGAGAAGACAUACACUGGGAAUAAGCCUCAUUCAUCUGAUCCAUCACCUGAGAAGGACAAAAGCUUGGGAAAAGCUAGGUAGUGGUUGACAUAGUCAUCUGAUGGCUAUUGAAAGAAGGCAUUAUCUGAAAGUUAUGGCUCUGGUGAUUCAGGAACCAAAAAUUCAUUCGAAUUUCGAUUGAAUCCUCAUAACUGUA
Molecule: long non-coding RNA, 631 nt
Filed under: Fragaria vesca (wild strawberry)
Lineage: Eukaryota; Viridiplantae; Streptophyta; Magnoliopsida; Rosales; Rosaceae
Description: long non-coding RNA (FVES_LNC003010)
Source: RNAcentral